UUUAGAGAUGCAAUUAGAUCAAUUAGCCACAGCUACAUAUAAAAGAAAAAAGGUAAACUACCGAGUUAACCCGAGGCUAAUCCUAGAACCCAAAAAAAUCAAGUACCACAACAAGAAGUCCAAAUUAACCAAUUAAACGUAAUUCACACCUUAAGAUCUAGAAAACAAAUAGACAACCAUAUCAAUACACCUGAAGAUUAAGAUGAUCCAUUAUCCAAACCACCUCAUGAGCAAGUGACCAAUC
This 244-nucleotide long non-coding RNA is filed under the name Elaeis guineensis (African oil palm). RNAcentral's name for it is "long non-coding RNA (EGUI_LNC000704)". Lineage: Eukaryota; Viridiplantae; Streptophyta; Magnoliopsida; Arecales; Arecaceae. The record is from RNAcentral.